UCAUACAUAUAGUGGCACACGCAGCCAGGUAUACAAAAUAUUCUACAAUGACAUGUGGGCCCCCAAAAUAAACAUAUAUGUACAAGACUAUAGACUUGCGAUUUCUAAGGGUGUAAACCCAAAAGCAAACCCUCAACAUAAUCAGUGAUCUACAAACUGCUCUAAGCCUGAAAUGGGUGAAAAGAAGGGGUGAGUUUUUAUAAAUCUAGUGAGUAAGCAAAAUUCAUCUAUAACAUCUAAAGCUGAGUAAAUGGAGACAAUUUAAAACAUCUCAUCAUAAUAUGAUUCAUAACAUCAAAUCUCAUUUCAACCCACAUAUAUCAAUUUCAUUUCAUCAAAAUCAACAAGGCUUAUGAUUCUUUUAAAACUUGGCUCGUGCCAAAAACUUGCACUCGGUGACACCUUGCGUCGAGGCAUCCAACCGAGUCUGUCAAGGCUGUUAAAAUAACAUAUGAGUAUACAACUCAUUCUUUUACAUUUAAAAGCACAGUCGUUCCUUGGCGUUGGUUGAGUUUCACCAUCACGUGGUGGUUCGGCGUGAGGUGAACUCUAACUUUACCUUAGGAGAUACCCUCCACGCCUCUCAUACUAAGGUAAAAUAUAAUGGGGUUUAUCGUGCCCUUCUAAUAGGCUAGUCCACGAAAACCCGUCCACUGCAGUAAGCUAAUCAAAUAACCCACCAAUUCAAUAAAAUUUCAGCAGCAUAACAUGGCUAACAUAAUAUUACCAGCCUAUCAAGGCAAAGUAAAACAGUUCAUAAAUUCCACACAAACACAAAUCUAGCCAUGCUUGCCAUCACAUUGUCAUAAGCCAUCAAUUCAAACCAUAUGUCAAAACAUAUAUAUAACACAAGUAUACAGUCUCCACUUACUCAAUUUCCAAAACCAGUAUUCAAUUUCAAAACAAGUUAUAAAUCUCAUUUCGUUUAAUCAACACUUCAAUUUUAAAGCAUAAUAGUUUACAAUUUAAAUUCAUUUUUCUUUAAAACAUACAAACGAGUAUAAACUACUUUAGAUAGUUAAGAUGAAAGUUUGAUUACUCACGAUAGCAAGAGUUUGAAGUACUCCUAUUCUUGAUCCUUGGGCACAAUAUCUUUACCCUUAUCAAAGGGCUCACCACCUAUACAUAAUACACGACACGUAAUUCAAUAUAUUUGUGCCAAACUGUUAUAAAACUAUUUCAGGCUCUACAUGAGUGCAUAAAAUUGAAUGAAAAGUGUUUGAAUAAUCACUUAAAGAUGGUGUUCUACGUAGGUUCAAUUGUUGUUGGAUUGAAAUGGUAUUCGACCUAACUCGCCCUAUACACUGUUCAAUUAACCAAAACAUCCAAUUCAACUCAAAAUAGAUUCAUUGCACUUCCGAUACUUCAAUAAAUCUGUAUACCUCUUUAAAAAUCAAUUCUAAGUCUAUUUACUAAAAUUUUCUCAUUAUCGUUCAAGUCGUUUACUAAAGAAACAAUACUUUUUGAUAACCGUUUUUGAUAUCCAACAUCACGAAUCAUCAAAUACGAGCUAGAUAACAUGAAAUUUAACAAGAUUAAUCAUCAAUAUAUCCCUUAUUAAAUUCGGCCAAGGAGGGUUUGGUGAAGGACAUAUGGUUUUCAUGCUUGUUUUUCACACCGAGUAUCACAAAACAACUAAAAACGCGUAUAUAGCAUGAAAUCUAACAAAACCCGUGAUCAAAACCUCCCCCCUUAGGUUCAACCAACAAACUUUCCUUCAUGAAAUCUUGAGUUUCAACUAUGGAAAAUGAAAAAGAGAGCAUGGGAAAGGUAGAUCUUAAGCUAAAUUGAAAAAUCUUACCUUUGAUUGCUUUGUCCUUUGAAAUUCCACAAAUUUCUCUUGAAUUUUCCUCUCUAGGGUUUGUUUCCAUUCUUUUCUCUUUGUUCUUUGCUUUGGGCGGCC
RNAcentral lists this long non-coding RNA (1903 nucleotides) under Theobroma cacao (cacao). Its description in RNAcentral is "long non-coding RNA (TCAC_LNC004884)". The record is from RNAcentral. Lineage: Eukaryota; Viridiplantae; Streptophyta; Magnoliopsida; Malvales; Malvaceae.